GUGCUCUCUUCGGCAGCACAUAUACAGAGAUUAGCAUGGCCCUGCACAAGGAUGACAUGCAACUUCGUGAAGUGUUCCAUAUUUAU
This 86-nucleotide small nuclear RNA is filed under the name Myotis davidii. Lineage: Eukaryota; Metazoa; Chordata; Mammalia; Chiroptera; Vespertilionidae. The record is from RNAcentral.